RNAcentral lists this ribosomal RNA (591 nucleotides) under uncultured bacterium. RNAcentral's name for it is "bacterial SSU rRNA". It matches the Rfam family "Bacterial small subunit ribosomal RNA", at positions 250 to 855 of the family's 1533-position model. The record is from RNAcentral.
UGGUAAGGUAAAAGCUUACCAAGGCGACGAUGGGUAGCCGACCUGAGAGGGUGAUCGGCCACACUGGGACUGAGACACGGCCCAGACUCCUACGGGAGGCAGCAGUGGGGAAUAUUGCGCAAUGGAGGGAACUCUGACGCAGCAACGCCGCGUGAGUGACGAAGGUUUUCGGAUCGUAAAGCUCUGUCAUUGGGGACGAAGAUGUGACGGUACCCAAUAAGGAAGCCCCGGCUAACUACGUGCCAGCAGCCGCGGUAAUACGUAGGGGGCGAGCGUUGUCCGGAAUUACUGGGCGUAAAGGGUGCGUAGGCGGCCUAAUAAGUCAGCUGUGAAAUACCGGGGCUUAACUCCGGGGGUGCGGUUGAAACUGUAAGGCUUGAGUGCAGGAGAGGAAAGUGGAAUUCCUAGUGUAGUGGUGAAAUGCGUAGAGAUUAGGAGGAACACCUGUGGCGAAGGCGGCUUUCUGGACUGUAACUGACGCUGAGGCACGAAAGCGUGGGUAGCGAACAGGAUUAGAUACCCUGGUAGUCCACGCUGUAAACGAUGGAUACUAGGUGUAGGGGGUAUCGACCCCUUCUGUGCCGUAGUUAA